Molecule: ribosomal RNA, 2056 nt
Filed under: mouse gut metagenome
Description: bacterial LSU rRNA
Rfam family: Bacterial large subunit ribosomal RNA
Source: RNAcentral
UCAAGCAAGAAAGAGCACAGGGCGGAUGCCUUGGCACUAAGAGCCGAUGAAAGACGCGACAAGCUGCGAAAAGCUGCGGGGAGGGGCAAAUGCCCGACGAUCCGCAGGUGUCUGAAUGGGGAAACCCACAUGAGAGGCCCUCAUGUAUCCAUGCGCCAACACAUAACGCAUGGAGGGGAACCCGGCGAACUGAAACAUCUAAGUAGCCGGAGGAAGAGAAAGAAAAGUCGAUUCCGGGAGUAGCGGCGAGCGAAACCGGAGGAGCCCAAACCGCGGCGCGAGCGCCGCGGGGUUAGGACCGCAGGGACCGAGCCAAGCUUUAGCGGAACGGCGUUGGGAAAGCCGGCCAAAGAGGGUGAAAGCCCCGUAGGCGAAAAAGCGAGGGGAGGGAGCGGGAUCCAGAGUACGCCGGGACACGAGAAACCCUGGCGGAAGGCGCGGGGACCACCCCGCAAGGCUAAACACUACUUAGUGACCGAUAGAGCAGAGUACUGUGAAGGAAAGGUGAAAAGAACCCCGGGAGGGGAGUGAAAGAGAGCCUGAAACCCUGCGUUUACAAGCUGUGGGAGCGCCGCAUGGCGCGACCGCGUACUUUUUGUAGAACGGUCCGGCGAGCUGCGCCUGCGGGCAAGGUUAAGGGCUUAAGGCCCGGAGCCGCAGGGAAACCGAGUCUGAAGAGGGCGAGGAGUCGGCAGGCGCAGGCCCGAAACCGGGUGACCUACCCAUGUCCAGGCUGAAGACGCCGUAAAAGGCGUUGGAGGGCCGAACCCACAUCCGUUGAAAAGGGUGGGGAUGAGGCGUGGGUAGGGGAGAAAUUCCAAUCGAACCCGGAGAUAGCUGGUUCUCCCCGAAAUAGCUUUAGGGCUAGCCCUGUAUAAACCCAGCGGAGGUAGAGCACUGGAUUUCCGAGGGGGCGUCAAAGCCUGCCAGAGAAUACCAAACUCCGAAUGCCGUAUGGGUGUUGCACAGGAGUCAGGCUGCACGAGAUAAGUCGGGCAGCCGAGAGGGAAAGAGCCCGGACCCGCGGCUAAGGCCCCAAAGUGCAUGUUAAGUGGAAAAGGAUGUGGGGGUUCAAAGACAGCUAGGAUGUUGGCUCAGAAGCAGCCACACAUUAAAAGAGUGCGUAACAGCUCACUAGCCGAGAGCCCCUGCGCCGAAAAUGUCCGGGGCUAAAACAUGCCGCCGAAGCCCGGGGUCCAUGCAAAAGCAUGGGCGGUAGGGGAGCAUUGCCGGCACGAAGAAGCCGUACCGAGAGGGGCGGUGGAGUGCCGGGAAGGGAGAAUGCCGGAAUGAGUAGCGAGAGGAAGGUGAGAAUCCUUCCGGCCGAAUGUCCAAGGUUUCCAGGGUAAAGCUGAUCUGCCCUGGGUGAGUCGGGGCCUAAGGCGAGGCUGAAAAGCGUAGCCGAUGGAUAACAGGUAGAGAUUCCUGUACUGCCUUAUAACAGAAGAUGCGGGGACGCGUUGGCAAAGUGUGAGCCGGGAAAGGAAAAACCGGUGCAAGGACGAGAGGCGUCGGAGGGGAAAGUCCCUUCCGGCAGCAAGCCGGCCGUCUGAUGCAUAGCGAAAAAGAGUAGCGAAACACAUGGAGCGGGCGCCGAGAAAAGCCGCUAUUGUUUGUAAGGUACCCGUACCGAAGACCGACACAGGUGGACAGGGAGAGGAUCCCAAGGCCGGCGGGCGAAGCACUGCCAAGGAACUCGGCAAAAUGGCCCCGUAACUUCGGGAGAAGGGGCGCCCCCGUGAGGGGGCCGCAGAGAAUAGGCCCAAGCAACUGUUUAGCAAAAACACAGGUCUGUGCAAAACCGCAAGGUGAAGUAUACGGGCUGACGCCUGCCCGGUGCUGGAAGGUUAAGGGGAGGGGUAAGCGGGAAACCGCGAAGCUCCGAGCCUAAGCCCCAGUAAACGGCGGCCGUAACUAUAACGGUCCUAAGGUAGCGAAAUUCAUUGUCGGGCAAGUUCCGACCCGCACGAAAGGCGUAAUGAUUUGGGCGCUGUCUCGGCAGUGCACCCGGUGAAAUUGAAGUGCCAGUGAAGAUGCUGGCUACCUGCGCCAGGAC